GACGAACGCUGGCGGCGUGCUUAACACAUGCAAGUCGAACGGAAAGGCCCUGCUUUUGUGGGGUGCUCGAGUGGCGAACGGGUGAGUAACACGUGAGUAACCUGCCCUUGACUUUGGGAUAACUUCAGGAAACUGGGGCUAAUACCGGAUAGGAGCUCCUGCUGCAUGGUGGGGGUUGGAAAGUUUCGGCGGUUGGGGAUGGACUCGCGGCUUAUCAGCUUGUUGGUGGGGUAGUGGCUUACCAAGGCUUUGACGGGUAGCCGGCCUGAGAGGGUGACCGGCCACAUUGGGACUGAGAUACGGCCCAGACUCCUACGGGAGGCAGCAGUGGGGAAUAUUGCACAAUGGGCGGAAGCCUGAUGCAGCAACGCCGCGUGCGGGAUGACGGCCUUCGGGUUGUAAACCGCUUUCGCCUGUGACGAGGCGUGAGUGACGGUAAUGGGUAAGGAAGCACCGGCUAACUACGUG
Molecule: ribosomal RNA, 468 nt
Filed under: uncultured bacterium
Lineage: Bacteria
Description: partial 16S ribosomal RNA
Rfam family: Bacterial small subunit ribosomal RNA
Source: RNAcentral